GGUGAAAACAGUGACUUCUGAGUGGAAUACUGCUCCAUUUCAGUUGUCAUUGGUGGCCCAGUGCACUAACAAGAACUCCAGGAACAAUUUAGCUCCAGAAAAUAGCUUAAAGGACAUCUUUAGAUUGCUUAUUAGAAGGAUGACAAAGAGGAAGAAGAGCAGAAGAAUGAAUACCAAAUGUACUCCUCUGGCAGGCUGAAUUGGAAUUUGUUUCAAUAGAACUUGGAAAGCCUCUCAGGAAUGACAGAGAGCAGUUGGAAAUCAAAGGAUUUCUAACUAACACAUUGGGACAGUAUCUAAGAAUAUUUUGUAUGAAAACAAAUAGAACCACUGAAAACAGAUAAAUAUAGGGAUAUAGACCGAUUUAACUGAUUAGACUUCUUACAACAAAAUAAGGUCAUUACAAACCAGUUUGAAAUUGACCUCAAAGAAUUUAGCCCAUAAUUUUUUUUUAAAAAGAAACUUAUAUGAUUAUACCAUGCAAAUAAAUGAAGGUGAGGAAUAAUCCAUUUUCUCAACUUCUCAUCUCUCUGCCCUGUUUUUACUAAGUGGAAUGAAAGACAUUAGGAGUAUUUUUCUUAGCAUGUAAAAUAGAAAAAUGAUUUAAAAUAAUGAAUCAUGUCAUUUAACUCUCAUUAAAUGCUAACAAGAUUCUAAUUGAGUUAAUGCAUAGGACUAUGAUAAAAGAAUAGUAAGACAAAGUGCUGAAUUUUGCCAUUUAUCAGCACUCUUGCUGCCCUUCAUGACCAUAGCUAACUUAUUUGUGGGAAACAGAACAAUAAACGUUCUUCCUACUGCAUGAUUUUUGAUAUUGCUGCAAUAAUAGACGAGAUUUCCUGAGGAAAACAGCCUGAUAUGAAUUUUAAGAGCUAGUUCCUGAAGUUUUGACUGCUUCAACUGUAAUAUUUACAGUUAUAUUUGUACUUUUCUGUAUUGAAUUUUCAGUUCCUUAGAACCUCAGCUCUGUGUAACAGGACUGAGACCAUGCAUGUAUAGAAGCUAAAUUGCAAACAGGUUUGUGGGUGCUUCCUGUGAGAAAUUUAAACUUUCAGUUGCACUGUUACAAAAAUAUAUAUGUUUUUAAAUAAUUUCGGGGAAAUAAUGCAUGUUCUUUAUCUCUCCUUGAAAGAUGUUGAAUGUUUGAGAGAGAAAAUUGCCUCUAUAAAAAGC
Gallus gallus (chicken) is the source of this 1170-nucleotide long non-coding RNA. The record is from Ensembl. NCBI's taxonomy places the organism in Eukaryota, Metazoa, Chordata, Aves, Galliformes, Phasianidae.